RNAcentral lists this ribosomal RNA (411 nucleotides) under uncultured bacterium. Its description in RNAcentral is "bacterial SSU rRNA". It matches the Rfam family "Bacterial small subunit ribosomal RNA", at positions 505 to 916 of the family's 1533-position model. The record is from RNAcentral.
GUGCCAGCCGCCGCGGUAAUACGUAGGGUGCAAGCGUUAAUCGGAAUUACUGGGCGUAAAGCGUGCGCAGGCGGUUAUGUAAGACAGAGGUGAAAUCCCCGGGCUCAACCUGGGAACUGCCUUUGUGACUGCAUGACUAGAGUACGGCAGAGGGGGAUGGAAUUCCACGUGUAGCAGUGAAAUGCGUAGAUAUGUGGAGGAACACCGAUGGCGAAGGCAAUCCCCUGGGCCUGUACUGACGCUCAUGCACGAAAGCGUGGGGAGCAAACAGGAUUAGAUACCCUGGUAGUCCACGCCCUAAACGAUGUCAACUGGUUGUUGGGAGGGUUUCUUCUCAGUAACGUAGCUAACGCGUGAAGUUGACCGCCUGGGGAGUACGGCCGCAAGAUUAAAACUCAAAGGAAUUGACGG